This 2283-nucleotide long non-coding RNA is filed under the name Homo sapiens (human). RNAcentral describes it as "Alu-mediated CDKN1A/p21 transcriptional regulator". The record is from RNAcentral. Lineage: Eukaryota; Metazoa; Chordata; Mammalia; Primates; Hominidae.
AGAGCUCGGCGGGGUGCGGCUAGUGGCGGAGCGCGCUGCGAGGGGAGGGCUUUCCACUGUCGCUGGCGUGAACUCGCGUGCCCGGUGGGUAUCAGGGAAGAACCCCCGCCCCGGACCCCCAGAUCUGCCAUGGCCGAGGUAGCGAUCGUCUCUGCGGCCACGAAGACUGUUUUAACUUGUACCACUUUCCCUUCCAUUUUUCCUGGGGUGCCUCUCACCCUGCAUCUGCGCGUUCAGCAAGCUGGAUUUCGGGAAUGCUCAGUUCAGAAGAGAAAAAAUUGCCGGGAAUCAAGUCCUUCUUUUUGUUAGUCGGUAGUCGAUUGAUGGGAAGUGUUCAAAAUCAUUCGAUGUGGUGACAAGGCUUCACCAGGUACUGCCUUCUAACGAGCUGGCCAUUUCCACAUGUCAGAUAGGACCAACUUGCCUUUUAACUACCCGUGUGAUACUUAAACACUGUUGCCGGUAUCACAGCUUUUCUUCAAAACAGGAUCUUGCUCUGUCACCCAGGCUGGAGUACAGUAGCACCAUCACUGCUCACUGUAGCCUCGACCUGCUGGGCUCAAGUGAUCCUCCCAUCUCAGCCUCCUGAGUAGGGGACUACACACAGGCACCACCAUGAUCCGGUAUCACCAGUCUGUGGGUACAAAAGGAGAGUAACAUGAACGAUUCAAAUUCCACUGGCUCUUGUUCCCAUGGAUUCACAGAAGUUCAGCCCCAUUUCAAAACUUCACAUUUGCUUCUGGGAAGCCCAUUCUGGAAAGUUUCUCUGUGGCCCUCUCCAGAAGGCAGCGCGACUUCCACCCAGCAACACAAGUCUCUGCAGCACCUGCCCCAGCAGCGCCAGCUGAGCCCCGGAAGCUGGGAAGGCUUAAGCUGACUCUUCUGCUGCACAUAGCAAAAAAUGGUCAUUUCUGUAGUUGCAGCUCCAGAUCUACAAUAAUCAAUCUAUAUCCAUAUUUUAUGGGGUUUUUUUGAGACAAAGUCUUGCUCUGUUACUCAGGCUGGAGUGCAGUGGCAUUAUCAUCAUUCACUUGUAGCCUUGACCUCCCUGGCUCAGGUGAUCCUGUCACCUCAGCCUUCCAAGUAGCUGAGACCACAGGCAUGCACCACUAAGCCUGGCUAAUUUUUCAAUUUUUAUUUUUCGUAGAGACAGGGUCUCCCUGGGUUGCCCAAACUGGUCUUGAAUUCCUGGGCUCAAGCAAUCCUCCUGUCCCGGCACCCCGAAGUGUUGGGACUACAGGCAUGAGCCACUGUGCACAGCCCUUUUUGUUUUUGUUUUUGUUUUUUUUUAAAGGUAAUUUCCCAGUGGAAUCCUCGAGAUUUCUUCACGUUUUUGGAAAAAUGAGUUACAUUUUAGAUUGUUUUCCUUUUUGGAAUUUAAUGGUAUACAUUAUAUUACAUAGCUAUGUUGAGCUCUAUUUCUAUUACACUAAAAAGUAGGCUAAUUGUCUUAACUUUCAUCAGUAAUGACAUUAAAUGUGUGAAGAUUAUACUUGGAAUAAAGCACUUGGAUUCAUUCAUUUCUUCAGUAAAUAUUUAUUGAGCACUAGUAUGUUCCAACGAGUGUCUGUCUACAUUCUGGGGACAAGUGAUAACUAAAUCCCUGUCCUCGUGGAGAGUUAACAAUCAACAAACUAACAAACAUUUAAUUUAUGUCAUCAACUCAUUUCCACAAAUAUAACAACAUCUUGACUUCAAGUUUCCUGAGUUUCUGGUCUAAAGAAUUGCUACCUUCAAGAGCUCAAAUCAUUUGUUGGGGAGAGAGGCCUGUGAUAUAUUUUCUCCUUUACAAUGAAAGUAGCUGUAAAAAGAGGAAGAGAAAUUCUGAGGGUAAAGAUAAAAAAUGUUGAAAUCUUCUUUCUGGAUUUCAGAUUGAGUCUCUUGCCCUAAUUGAUGCAAUUUACACUCCAUGCAUCUCCUUCCCUGGACCUUCUCCAGUUCUUGGGGACUACAGAUGAACUUACUUUUAAUGCAUUUUAUGGCAUUUGGAGGCCCUCCAGUGGACAAAUACUAUACCUGAAAAAAAUCCUUUUGCUGUGCUAAAGUGUUCAGGUGUGAAGUGUACUCAUGUUUGCAAAUCACUUUGAAAUAUAUAAACAAAAAUGAAUUAAUGGAUGAAUAGAGUGAUGCAUAGAUCAUUAGACAUGUGAUAAAAAUAACUGUUAAUUGUAGAAUCUAGAUGAUGAGUAUAUUAUAUGAUAUGGCCCACUGUAUAAUUCUUUCAACUUUUCUGUUUGAAUGUUUGAUAAUAAAAUAUUGAAUAAAAAUCUUUUUGCUAAAGAU